RNAcentral lists this transfer RNA (92 nucleotides) under Oscillospiraceae bacterium. Its description in RNAcentral is "tRNA-Ser". It matches the Rfam family "tRNA". From Rfam's summary of the family: Transfer RNA (tRNA) molecules are approximately 80 nucleotides in length. Their secondary structure includes four short double-helical elements and three loops (D, anti-codon, and T loops). Further hydrogen bonds mediate the characteristic L-shaped molecular structure. tRNAs have two regions of fundamental functional importance: the anti-codon, which is responsible for specific mRNA codon recognition, and the 3' end, to which the tRNAs corresponding amino acid is attached (by aminoacyl-tRNA synthetases). tRNAs cope with the degeneracy of the genetic code in two manners: having more than one tRNA (with a specific anti-codon) for a particular amino acid; and 'wobble' base-pairing, i.e. permitting non-standard base-pairing at the 3rd anti-codon position. Lineage: Bacteria; Bacillati; Bacillota; Clostridia; Eubacteriales; Oscillospiraceae. The record is from RNAcentral.
GGAAAGAUGGCUGAGUUGGUCUAAAGCGCACGAUUGGAAAUCGUGUAACGGCUAAUACCCGUUCAAGGGUUCGAAUCCCUUUCUUUCCGCCA